This 71-nucleotide transfer RNA is filed under the name Ictidomys tridecemlineatus (thirteen-lined ground squirrel). RNAcentral describes it as "Spermophilus tridecemlineatus (thirteen-lined ground squirrel) tRNA". It matches the Rfam family "tRNA". Rfam says of the family: Transfer RNA (tRNA) molecules are approximately 80 nucleotides in length. Lineage: Eukaryota; Metazoa; Chordata; Mammalia; Rodentia; Sciuridae. The record is from Rfam by way of RNAcentral.
AGGGAUGUAGCUCAGUGGUAGAGCACUUACCUAGUAUGCAUGAAACUCUGGGUUCAAUCCCAGCACACCAC